RNAcentral lists this ribosomal RNA (253 nucleotides) under uncultured bacterium. RNAcentral describes it as "partial 16S ribosomal RNA". It matches the Rfam family "Bacterial small subunit ribosomal RNA", at positions 524 to 776 of the family's 1533-position model. The record is from RNAcentral.
UACGUAGGUGGCGAGCGUUGUCCGGAUUUACUGGGCGUAAAGCGCGCGCAGGCGGACUGAUCAGUCUGGGGUGAAAUCUCACGGCUCAACUGUGAGCGGUCCCUGGAUACUGUCAGCCUUGAGAUGUCUAGAGGAGAGCGGAAUUCCCGGUGUAGUGGUGGAAUGCGUAGAUAUCGGGAGGAACACCGGUGGCGAAGGCGGCGUUCUGGACUGCAACUGACACUGAUGGACGAAAGCCAGGGGAGCAAACGGG